GAAAAAUACAAAAAGUGUGACUCAAACCUACAAGAAUUUUCUAAUCGAAAUUAGUCUGUUGAUGCGAUAAGAGAAAAUUGUUCGAAAUUCCCCCCCAAUGACUCAAUCAGCAUUACGCGUGAUCACUGUAACCGUGACGUAAGUUUACAGUUGUGGAACUGAUUUGACAGUCGCGAUAAAUUUCUGGGUUGGUCGUGUAUGCAAAGACGUGACGCUUUCGGGUGAUUGUGCUAACGGGACAAGUUUUGAGGUUUGGCAAGCAGCGUACCCAUCAUUAUAUCAGAGUUGUAACGAACUGAAACACGCUGAGCUUGCUCAAGCCAAACAGCUAGUUGUUCCAAAAAUCGUGCUGCUGGAAAACGAAUCUCAGUAGGACAUACGCAAAUAAUCAAGUUUGUUUUGAAUUGCGCAUGUGCUGAUGGAAUCUACAGAUUUACUGGAAAGAUCCUGUGGGCAGCAACAUAUAGAACGGUGUGGCUAAUACAGCUACGUUGUAAUAAGCUGGGUGAGGUAAUGGAAUUAAAGUUUCAAUCGUGAAACUUGACGAGUUUUUUUAUGGCUUGAUUUUUUUUUCUUUUUUCUUUCUUUAAAACACAGCUGUGGUUUUUUAAAUAAAGCUUCUAGCGCUAGAUGGAGUCUUUUGUCGGAGGUAUCGUGAAAAAAAGCAGGUAACACCGGAUCUCCGGAGGCAAGAUAGAAAUUCAGUCGGAAAUGCUAUCUAUUUUCCGAUAAAGGCGAUCCGCAGUGGUUCAUCGCGAGAGUCAACUAUGAGAAGUAUUGAAAGUAGAUUGACUAUCGAUCGUAUAUGAUCGAACAAGCAGGUUUACAUAAAUGAAUGGGGUUACAAUCGGACGGGCAAGGAAUCAGGACACGGGUCUUCUUGGUAAGAUGCGAUACAUUAGAAAACAGAUUUAAACAAAAAUGCAUACAACAGAAAAUUGGAAACUCAUUACACCCGUUAUGACUCACUGA
This is a long non-coding RNA of Daphnia pulicaria, 972 nucleotides long. RefSeq lists it as uncharacterized. The record is from RefSeq and is a predicted model, not a curated record. The transcript is spliced from 2 exons. NCBI's taxonomy places the organism in Eukaryota, Metazoa, Arthropoda, Branchiopoda, Diplostraca, Daphniidae.